RNAcentral lists this ribosomal RNA (506 nucleotides) under Diplommatina rubicunda. Its description in RNAcentral is "partial 16S ribosomal RNA". It matches the Rfam family "Bacterial large subunit ribosomal RNA", at positions 1818 to 2597 of the family's 2925-position model. Lineage: Eukaryota; Metazoa; Mollusca; Gastropoda; Architaenioglossa; Diplommatinidae. The record is from RNAcentral.
GGCUCUUUGAUCGCGUGGAUAAAGAGUUUGACCUGCCCGGUGAUUAAUUAAACGGCCGCAGUAUCCUGACUGUGCGAAGGUAGCAUAAUAAUUUGUCUUAUAAUUAAAGAAUGGAAUGAAUGGUUUGACUAGGGUAUAACUGUCUCUUAUAUAUUUUUUAAAAGUUAAUUUUUAAGUUAAAAAGCUUAAAUUAAAUUAAAAGACGAGAAGACCCUAUUGAGCUUGGUAAUAGAUAUAGUUAAUUAAAAUUAUAGUAUAAAUAAAAAUUGGUAUUGAGUUUUGGUUGGGGCGACUUAGGAAUAGACAAAGCUUCCUUAAUAGAUUUAUAAAGAUAUUUUUGGAACCAAAAAAUUUUGAAUUGAGAAUAAGUUACCAUAGGGAUAACAGCGUUAUUUUUUUUGAGAGUUCCAAUCGAAAAAAAAGUUUGCGACCUCGAUGUUGGAUUAGGGAUAAAAUAAAGGUUGCAGAAGCUUUAUAUAUUUAGUCUGUUCGACUACUAACCCCUU